ACGAACGCUGGCGGCGUGCUUAACCCAUGCCGGUCGAACGGAAAGGCCCCUUUGGGGGUACUCGAGUGGCGAACGGGUGAGUAACACGUGAGUAACCUGCCCUUGACUUCGGGAUAACUUCAGGAAACUGGGGCUAAUACCGGAUAGGAAUCCUUGCUGCAUGGUGGGGGUUGGAAAGCUUCGGCGGUUUUGGAUGGACUCGCGGCUUAUCAGCUUGUUGGUGGGGUAGUGGCUUACCAAGGCUUUGACGGGUAGCCGGCCUGAGAGGGCGACCGGCCACAUUGGGACUGAGAUACGGCCCAGACUCCUACGGGAGGCAGCAGUGGGGAAUAUUGCACAAUGGGCGGAAGCCUGAUGCAGCAACGCCGCGUGCGGGAUGACGGCCUUCGGGUUGUAAACCGCUUUCAGCAGGGGCGAAGCUUGUGGUGACGGUACCUGCAGAAGAAGCACCGGCUAACUACGUG
RNAcentral lists this ribosomal RNA (464 nucleotides) under uncultured bacterium. RNAcentral describes it as "partial 16S ribosomal RNA". It matches the Rfam family "Bacterial small subunit ribosomal RNA", at positions 29 to 507 of the family's 1533-position model. The record is from RNAcentral.